This 65-nucleotide transfer RNA is filed under the name Valencia letourneuxi. RNAcentral's name for it is "tRNA-Cys". It matches the Rfam family "tRNA". Rfam says of the family: Transfer RNA (tRNA) molecules are approximately 80 nucleotides in length. Their secondary structure includes four short double-helical elements and three loops (D, anti-codon, and T loops). Further hydrogen bonds mediate the characteristic L-shaped molecular structure. tRNAs have two regions of fundamental functional importance: the anti-codon, which is responsible for specific mRNA codon recognition, and the 3' end, to which the tRNAs corresponding amino acid is attached (by aminoacyl-tRNA synthetases). tRNAs cope with the degeneracy of the genetic code in two manners: having more than one tRNA (with a specific anti-codon) for a particular amino acid; and 'wobble' base-pairing, i.e. permitting non-standard base-pairing at the 3rd anti-codon position. Lineage: Eukaryota; Metazoa; Chordata; Actinopteri; Cyprinodontiformes; Valenciidae. The record is from RNAcentral.
AGCUCUGAGGUGUUUCACGUUAGAUUGCAAACCUAAAGAAGUAGGUUAGUUACCUGCCAGGGCUU